ACAUACAACAAAUUAAUAUGCAGCUCCUGUAUUUGGAUAUCAAAGAGUCUUUAAGACUAGUUGCAACUUUAUCUAUAGAUGGCCGGUCACAUGCAUAUCUUCUAUUCCUAGUCUUGGUGGACAGAGUUACCUGAUAACUAUUGUGGCAGGUGGCAUGUAUCUCAUGGAUUUAGUUAAGAUACGUGAAAGCUGAUUCAGACAUUAUUUGAAAUACAA
This 216-nucleotide unclassified non-coding RNA is filed under the name Hevea brasiliensis (rubber tree). The record is from RNAcentral. Lineage: Eukaryota; Viridiplantae; Streptophyta; Magnoliopsida; Malpighiales; Euphorbiaceae.